UUAUGGAAAGCAUAUUGGUCCUGAAGACAGAAAGACACAGAGUUGUGUGUGUCUGCCUUUGCUGUGACAAUUUUCUCUGAGUUUCAAAUUCCAGAUGAAAAUCAUAUGAAGACACAGCAUCAUGUCAGGCAAUAGAGACAAAAGCAUCAACCUUUCGGGAUCAUUUGAUGGAUUAAACAGGAAAACCAAACACAGGUUACCAACAUCAGAAAUGAAAGAG
RNAcentral lists this long non-coding RNA (220 nucleotides) under Pan troglodytes (chimpanzee). RNAcentral's name for it is "long non-coding RNA NONPTRT012411". Lineage: Eukaryota; Metazoa; Chordata; Mammalia; Primates; Hominidae. The record is from RNAcentral.